GACGUAGGAUGCAAGCGUUGUCCGGAUUUAUUGGGCGUAAAGAGUUCGUAGGAGGUUCGUUAAGUCUGAUGUUAAAGACUGGGGCUCAACCCUGGAAGUGCAUUGGAUACUGGCGGACUUGAGUGUGGUAGAGGCAAUCGGAAUUCCAGGUGUAGCGGUGAAAUGCGUAGAUAUCUGGAAGAACACCGGUGGCGCAAGCGGAUUGCUGGGCCAUAACUGACACUGAGGAACGAAAGCUAGGGGAGCGAAUGGG
This 253-nucleotide ribosomal RNA is filed under the name uncultured bacterium. Its description in RNAcentral is "partial 16S ribosomal RNA". It matches the Rfam family "Bacterial small subunit ribosomal RNA", at positions 524 to 776 of the family's 1533-position model. The record is from RNAcentral.